GCGAGCCGGAGCGCGAUACACUGUCACGGCAGAGGAAACUCCUCCCUCCUGCAGGAAGCGCGGCCCGGAGAUGGGUAGUCGGAGACGGCUGGCAACGGUACAGAAAACAGCCCGCCCGGUAAUACGGUGAUGGUGAGAGUCGGAGGUUUCGGUAAACGGGCAUGAAAAAGCCGCCCCGCGUGGAGCAAGGCCAAAUCAGACCACACGUCCUGCUACGGGUCUAGGUAGGCCGCAUAGCGAAAUAUCGCGAGAACAGAAGGAGGGUUACUCCCGGCACGC
RNAcentral lists this RNase P RNA (279 nucleotides) under Cenarchaeum sp. SB0662_bin_33. RNAcentral describes it as "RNase P RNA component". It matches the Rfam family "Archaeal RNase P". From Rfam's summary of the family: Ribonuclease P (RNase P) is a ubiquitous endoribonuclease, found in archaea, bacteria and eukarya as well as chloroplasts and mitochondria. Its best characterised activity is the generation of mature 5'-ends of tRNAs by cleaving the 5'-leader elements of precursor-tRNAs. Lineage: Archaea; Thermoproteati; Nitrososphaerota; Candidatus Cenarchaeales; Candidatus Cenarchaeaceae. RNAcentral also lists the same sequence under 1 other name. The record is from RNAcentral.